Molecule: ribosomal RNA, 350 nt
Filed under: uncultured Lactifluus
Lineage: Eukaryota; Fungi; Basidiomycota; Agaricomycetes; Russulales; Russulaceae
Description: eukaryotic LSU rRNA
Rfam family: 5.8S ribosomal RNA (bases 1-73)
Source: RNAcentral
UCAGUGAUCAUCGAAUCUUUGAACGCAUCUUGCGCCCCUUGGCAUUCCGAGGGGCACACCCGUUUGAGCGUCGUGAAACUCUCAACCCUUCUCCCUUUCUUGUUGAACCGGGAGGAUGGCUUGGACUUUGGAGGCUUCUGCCGGUCUCAUCCCUCUUAGAACCGGCUCCUCUUAAAGAAAUUAGUGGGGUCUCAUUUGCCGAUCCUUGACGUGAUAAUAUUUGACGUCUUUUUUUUAGAGGGAUAGAGAACUUGCUUCCCAUUGGUUCAUUCAGGGGACCCCCGUUAAAUCCAAGAUCCCAAUUAACCCCCCUUGACCUCAAAUCGGGUGAGAAUACCCGCUGAACUUAA